Molecule: long non-coding RNA, 1185 nt
Organism: Brassica oleracea var. oleracea
Lineage: Eukaryota; Viridiplantae; Streptophyta; Magnoliopsida; Brassicales; Brassicaceae
Exons: 5
Source: RefSeq, a predicted model, not a curated record
AUAGCAAUUAUCUCAAACUACGUCUCUUGAUCAAACAAAAGAAGAGACGGUUUCUUCUUGCUCUCUCUAUCGCGAAGAAGGAAGAAAGAAGGAGAAGCCAUAGCAGGAGUAGGACUUUUCCGAUGUAAACUCUUCAUCUCCUUUCCUCUGCGAUCCAGAGAAGGGGAAUUUGUGUUUGUAUGGACAUCCGAGUGAGUUGUGGGAAGUGAAUGAAACCCCAAUUCUUCCUCUGGAUUCAAUUCGAUUUCUUCGUAAUCCGCCAUGGAUGCUCAACGAGCUCUGUUGGACGAACUUAUGGGCGCAGCUCGUAAUCUGACGGACGAAGAGAGAAGAGGAUUCAAGGAGAUUAAGUGGGAUGACAGAGAGGUCUGCGCAUUCUACAUGGUUCGAUUUUGUCCUCACGACCUCUUCGUCAACACCAAAAGCGAUCUUGGUGCUUGCUUGAGGAUUCAUGAUCCCAAGCUCAAAGAGAGAGAUGUUGGAACAGAGGAGGAGGCUCGGCUCUGUUGAAAAAUGUGGAGAGAAUGGAGUCGGACAUAAUAGCGGGAUGCUUUUGCAACGCGGCGCAGGUGAUUGGGAUGAAGUGUUUGGUGACGGCGGUGGAGGUGAGAGAAGCGUCGGUGAGAGAAGCUGCGAUGCAUCUGGGGAGAACAGAGAAGAUACUUGAGAUUGUGGACAGGAGAUGCAUGCCUGCUUUGUCUCAUCACGAAGUGGCGAAGAUUGAUGAGUGGACAUAAAUUGAAGAUAUAUCUCCUCCUCUGCCCGAAGCAGACAAAGACGGUGGCGUUAUUGUUACAGAGAGUUCAACUCCCAUUGCAGAGGCAGCUUCUGAUGGUUUCAGCUCCAUGUCUGUGGUAAGGCAGUUGAAUCAGUUUCAAGUUUAUUGAAUGCUUGAACUUGUGUUUACAAAGUGAAUGGUAACGGAGUGUAGUACCUACGGCAACAUAUGAUUCGCACGUUCAGCCUAGCAACGAGAUAAAAUUAAUUUGAACUUGAAUUGCCAUAACUGAACAAAACGCUUUGUAAGACCUUAGUCAUGUGCUGAGUCUCAGUCCAUCAUUUUCUUGGCUUUAUUCUCAUGCUUUUCUAGGCCUUUGAUAUCAUCACGUUCAAAGCUACACUUCAUAUCGUUUCCUGUUUUUGAAUACAUUCAAAACUUGUAUGUUUUUGUAAGAACUGUCUUAG